This 1411-nucleotide long non-coding RNA is filed under the name Equus caballus (horse). RNAcentral describes it as "lncRNA (ENSECAG00000053294.1)". Lineage: Eukaryota; Metazoa; Chordata; Mammalia; Perissodactyla; Equidae. The record is from RNAcentral.
CAACACGUUAGAAUCCUCCAUUUUGUCCCUCCUAUUGGCAAUGCACAAGUGUGGCUUGGAAUGAAGGGACUGUGUGGUUGCCAGGGUGACCCCAAGGACCAGUUAUUGCACAUAUGGUUCUGCAAAUGGAAGUUCCUGAGUCGGACCAAUGGCAGGAAAGAAGAUUUGCGAACUCGCCCAGGGCAAAGCUGGUGUAAAGUUUUAGAUAAAUGUUCAGAAUUAACCACCUCCUGUUACUCCUAAGUCUCCACAGAUACCAUGUUUUUAAGCCUCCUUUGGGACAAUCACUGGCUGGAAACACCAGAGCAAAAGAGAGGCAAAAUAUCGAUAGAUAUCAGAUGUAGGAUCAAGUUUAACCCCAUUCAAUAUCAGUAAUAUCAUUGUCUUCUUUGCAAUAUACUUCCUCAUGGACUGUACCAGCUACAACUGGGUAUCUUGGGUUUUCUAGGAGGAAGCACCAAUAAAUGAAAGAUUAGGCCCUUGGAGAACAUAAAAAAUGUGAUUCUCAACCCACCACACUUUUACGAAUGAGUCUACAAAAAGGUCACACCCUUCUAUGAAAGGCUUUUGAUUCACUUUCAGUAGGGAAAACGUAAGCAGAAAGGAUAAAGAGGAAAAAGUUGGCGUCAGGAAAACAGCUUUAUUUGCAGCAAAGUGAUCAGAGCUGCCGUACGAUUGCUUCAGGCUUCUACUCAGCACUCCUUGUCCACACUUGAGGGCUUGCUCUGAUCUCUUCCCAGAAUCGACUACCAGAUAAUUACCUGUCCCUGAGCGAUUGGGGCUGAGAACUAAGACUCCGAAUAUCAAUAAACACCUCUGUUAAUUAUUAAGCCUUUAAAGGUGUUUGAUUUCUUCCCCCACCGUGGCCCACCUGCACAGGAGUUCCUCUUUGAGGGCAACAAGCAUGGAGGCUGAGAGUUAAUGAUUAGACCCACAUUCUUGCACAAAAGGAAACCAAAUCAGAACCAGACUAACCAGAGGAGGCUGAAGAAAAUUAAUAGGUGGCAGAAAACCUUAUAAAAAGAAAACAAGGGAACUUUGCUGCAGAACAACAGCCCUUCGAAUGUCCGAGUGGGAAGAGACAGAGAGCAUCCUGUCCAACCCCUCCUGUAUUGAAAGCCGAAACAGAAAAUGACCGUCUGUUGGUUACAGAUCUGAGGAUAAGCCCCGCCAAGGACGCCGGAUGUGUGCUCACGGACUGUCUGGGCCCGCUGCAUCGAAGGCUUCCCCACCUGGGAUUCCCUCUCAGUAAUCUACAUGUUCUCAAGACAUGGGGAGGAGAAGAAAAGCAACCUUAUCAUUCAGGGAUUACGACCUUCCUUGGCUCCAACGAUUCAACUUUAAAUAUUUACUUGGCAGCUGAUUCAAAUUCAAAUAAACUUGCAGUUAUUGGGUGAAAUAAAGUGUGCCC